This 479-nucleotide ribosomal RNA is filed under the name uncultured bacterium. RNAcentral describes it as "partial 16S ribosomal RNA". It matches the Rfam family "Bacterial small subunit ribosomal RNA", at positions 28 to 507 of the family's 1533-position model. The record is from RNAcentral.
GAUGUACGCUGGCGGCGUGCUUAACACAUGCAAGUCGAGCGAGAAGUUUUGAAAAGAUUCUUCGGAUGAAAUUUAAAAUGGAAAGCGGCGGACGGGUGAGUAACGCGUAGGCAACCUGCCCCAUACAAAGGGAUAGCAUUUGGAAACGAAUAUUAAUACCUUAUGAAACUUAACUAGUGCAUGCUAGGUAGGUCAAAGAUUUAUCGGUAUGGGAUGGGCCUGCGUCUGAUUAGCUAGUUGGUGAGGUAACGGCUCACCAAGGCGACGAUCAGUAGCCGACCUGAGAGGGUGAACGGCCACAUUGGAACUGAGACACGGUCCAAACUCCUACGGGAGGCAGCAGUGGGGAAUAUUGCACAAUGGGGGAAACCCUGAUGCAGCAACGCCGCGUGAACGAUGAAGGCCUUUGGGUCGUAAAGUUCUGUUCUAGGUGAUGAAAACUGACAGUAGCCUAGGAGAAAGCCCCGGCUAACUCCGUG